RNAcentral lists this long non-coding RNA (1010 nucleotides) under Sinocyclocheilus grahami. RNAcentral describes it as "lncRNA (ENSSGRG00000018888.1)". Lineage: Eukaryota; Metazoa; Chordata; Actinopteri; Cypriniformes; Cyprinidae. The record is from RNAcentral.
UCCAGUACUUUAUAGUCAAUCACAUUUUUAUAUUGCAAUAAUGAAGAUGUCUGUGUCACCCCAGACUGGUUGCUGGCCCCUAUGAAACCACCACUGUUUCCGUUUGCUCUGUUUUGUCAAACACCGGGCUUCAAACUCAUCGACGCAACUUUGUUAAUCCCUGAAGUGAACUGUUCUGUUAACUGUUGGACUGCUGUCUUGAACUGGAUGUGAGGCCCAAAUUCAUUCAUGGCAGAAGAUCUGUGGAGCAUCACAAACCGAAGGAGAAUUAAACAGAUAGAAAAAGAAAAAUGCCAAACAAAGAGAGCAAGAGACAAUCUACUGAACCAGAAGAGAAAAACACCCCGAAACUAAUCAGACGGAGCAGCAUUAAUAGCGGAAAACCAAACUUUUCUGAUGAUCCAGACAGUUUUAUUCUGACUGACUCUGAUGAGACAGGAGCAGCUCCUUUCACCGGACCAGCAGAAUAUAAUUUAUAUUCUUUAUACUCACUGAUUACAGUUUUUUACAAUCAUUUUUGCAUUAAUAACAGAACCUUCAUGUCAUUUCUCAAAACUCUAGACUCAAAACAUUAUUUGUAACACAGGCUGCCCAAAACUUUGCAUAUUGCGUUCAUAUCUUCAAAAAAGCCUUGCAUUUGCAGAAGCAAAAAAAAAAAGAAAAAGUAUUUUGGUUCAAAAAACUAAUUUAUGAAAUAUCAUAGGAACAUUACGUUAGCUCACCCACACACAAGAUACCCAUAGUUUCACGGUGUAUUUGUUAGUACAAGCAUUAAAUAUAGUUGUACAAGAUAUGUGAUUCAGGUUUCAUUCUUGUAUUGUAGACUAGAGAGAAUAGUACAGACACAGUGGUAUCAUUGAAUUACUGUAAUGUGAAAUUUACCGAGGAAAUAGAAAUCACAACAUAGGUUUUCCAAAGGAAAAAAUUAGAUUAAAAAAAACAAACAAAAAAAACUGUACUGUUAACGUAAGUGUUCCCCACUGCACUAUGCAUCCAUGUUUCCAUCAACC